This 253-nucleotide ribosomal RNA is filed under the name uncultured bacterium. RNAcentral's name for it is "partial 16S ribosomal RNA". It matches the Rfam family "Bacterial small subunit ribosomal RNA", at positions 524 to 776 of the family's 1533-position model. The record is from RNAcentral.
GACGAACCGUCCAAACGUUAUUCGGAAUUACUGGGCUUAAAGGGUGCGUAGGCGGCGCGGAAAGUUGGGUGUGAAAUCCCUCGGCUCAACCGAGGAACUGUGCCCAAUACUACCGUGCUUGAGGGAGAUAGAGGUGAGCGGAACUUAGGGUGGAGCGGUGAAAUGCGUUGAUAUCCUAAGGAACACCGGUGGCGAAAGCGGCUCACUGGAUCUCUUCUGACGCUGAGGCACGAAAGCUAGGGUAGCGAACGGG